RNAcentral lists this long non-coding RNA (578 nucleotides) under Pongo abelii (Sumatran orangutan). Its description in RNAcentral is "lincRNA". The record is from RNAcentral. Lineage: Eukaryota; Metazoa; Chordata; Mammalia; Primates; Hominidae.
GGUAAGUCCAGCCCUAGGCUAAAAGUCGAUAGGGCGGAGGCCGUCAAGCUGGAAGGGGCUGUGCUGUCAACGAGCGAGCGCAGGGGGUGUUAAUCACUGAAGGGAGGUAGAGUGUUUUUCCCCACCAGAGGAGGCAGCGACCACGUCUCCUCUAUGGAGGCAUUCAAGAGCCAUCCAGCUGAAGCAGCAUCACUGUCUGAGCUUGGAAGGCACAAUCCACAUCGGUCUGCAUGGUCCACCGAGCUGCAUACCCACGGGGCCAGCGGGAGGUGGGCAGCUGCUGGGCUUUCUUCUGAAGCAGACAGGAUCUCAGUCUGUUGCCGAGGCUGGAUCACAGCUCCCUGCAACCUUGAAUUCUCCCUCAAGCAAUCCUCCCCACUCUGCCUUCCAAAGCACUGGCAUUACAGGCCUAAGCCACCACUCCCAUCCACUGUAGUGUAAACUAUCUCCUUCAGUGUUUCCAGUAGUUGCAGAGCAGAUCAGAUAAGGGUUCUUCCUGUCUAUUGCUUCAAGUUUCAUUCUCUCUUUAAACGAUAUAAGGUUGGCUUCCAUGGUUCCUUCUUAAAGAAUGUUGAAGG